GCUCACGUGGCGGAAUUGGUAGACGCGCACGCUUGAGGGGCGUGUGGCUUAACGGCCGUGAUGGUUCGACUCCAUUCGUGAGCAC
This 85-nucleotide transfer RNA is filed under the name Rhodothermaeota bacterium MED-G12. Its description in RNAcentral is "tRNA-Leu(gag)". It matches the Rfam family "tRNA". From Rfam's summary of the family: Transfer RNA (tRNA) molecules are approximately 80 nucleotides in length. Their secondary structure includes four short double-helical elements and three loops (D, anti-codon, and T loops). Lineage: Bacteria; Pseudomonadati; Rhodothermota. The record is from RNAcentral.